CGGAUUCCGUCCUGGUCAUGGAACAACGGACCAACUCUUCACUCUCGCAAGGAUCCUGGAGGGGGCCUGGGAGUACGCCCAUCUGGUCUACAUGUGUUUUGUGGAUCUGGAGAAGGCGUAUGACCGGGUCCCCCGGGUGAUACUGUGGGAGGUGCUGCGGGAGUAUGGGGUGAGGGGGUCACUUUUGAGGGCCAUCCAAUCCCUGUACGCCCAAAGCGAGAGUUGUGUCCGGAUACUCGGCAGUAAGUCGGACUCGUUUCCCGUGAAUGUUGGCCUCCGCCAGGGCUGCGCUUUAUAACCAAUCCUGUUCGUGAUUUUCAUGGAUAGGAUAUCGAGGCGUAGUCGUGGAGGAGAGGGGUUGCAGUUCGGUGACCUGAGGAUCUCAUCGCUGCUCUUUGCAGAUGAUGUGGUCCUUAUGGCAUCAUCGGUCUGUGACCUUCAACAGUCACUGGAUCGGUUCGCAGCCGAGUGUGAAGCGGUUGGGAUGAGGAUCAGCACCUCCAAAUCUGAGGCCAUGGCUCUCAGCAGGAAACCGGUGGAUUGCCUACUCCGGGUAGGGAAUGAGCCAUUACCCCAAGUGAAGUUCAAGUACCUCGGGGUCUUGUUCGCGAGUGAGGGGACAAUGGAGCGAGAGAUUGGCCGGAGAAUCGGAGCAGCGGGGGCGGUAUUACAGUCACUUUACCGCACCGUUGUGACGAAAAGAGAGCUGAGCCAGAAGGCAAAGCUCUCAAUCUACCGGUCGAUCUUCGUUCCUACCCUCACCUAUGGUCAUGAAGGCUGGGUCAUGACCGAAAGAACGAGAUCACGGGUACAAGCGGCCGAAAUGGGUUUUCUCAGACGGGUGGCUGGCGUCUCCCUUAGAGAUAGGGUGAGAAGCUCAGCCAUCCGUGAGAGACUCGGAGUAGAGCCGCUGCUCCUUUACGUUGAAAGGAGCCAGUUGAGGUGGUUCGGGCAUCUAGUAAGGAUGCCACCUGGGCGCCUCCCUAGGGAGGUGUUCCAGGCACGUCCAGCUGGGAGGAGACCCCGGGGAAGACCCAGGACUCGGUGGAGAGAUUAUAUCUCCUCACUGGCCUGGGAACGCCUCAGGAUCCCCCAGUCGGAGCUGGAGGAUGUGGCCCAGAGAAGGGAAGAUUGGGGUUCCUUACUGGAGCUGCUGCCCCCGCGACCCGAUUCCGGAUAAGCGGUAGACGAUGGAUGGAUG
This 1201-nucleotide long non-coding RNA is filed under the name Cottoperca gobio. RNAcentral describes it as "lncRNA (ENSCGOG00000007502.1)". The record is from RNAcentral. Lineage: Eukaryota; Metazoa; Chordata; Actinopteri; Perciformes; Bovichtidae.